Molecule: small RNA, 431 nt
Filed under: Pongo abelii (Sumatran orangutan)
Lineage: Eukaryota; Metazoa; Chordata; Mammalia; Primates; Hominidae
Description: processed transcript
Source: RNAcentral
AUUACUCUUUUAGAGGAUUCCAAUGAAGACUGGUGGAAAGGGAAAAUUCAAGACAGAAUUGGCUUCUUUCCAGCCAACUUUGUUCAGAGACUACAACAAAAUGAGAAGAUUUUUAGAUGUGUUAGAACCUUCAUUGGGUGUAAAGAACAGGGGCAGAUAACACUGAAAGAGAAUCAGGUGAGUAAAUCACACAAACACAUUCCAGAUAUCAGCCAAAUAGGGUGUCAUUUUAAUAAACUUAAUAAUAUGUAUAAAUCUGAAUGAGUGGAGUCACAUUCAAAGUAUUCACUUUGAGAAAAGAUAUACUUACUCCAAUGAUGUCAGUGUUGUAGGAGCUAAACAUGCAAACUAAAAUUUUAGGAAUCUCACUUGGUGACACCUGUUCAUAAACGAAACGUCAUAGUGGCGGGUGAGGACAUCUCGUCCCCCAU